UGGAGACUGGCCACCUAAAACGUGGAGGAAGGUGGGGAUGACGUCAAGUCAGCAUGGCCCUUACUCCGGGGCUACACACGUGCUACAAUGGCCGGUACAAAGGGUUGCGAAGCCGUGAGGUGGAGCGAAUCCUCAAAAAGCCGGCCUCAGUUCGGAUUGGAGGCUGCAACUCGCCUCCAUGAAGUCGGAAUCGCUAGUAACGCAGAUCAGCUACGUUGCGGUGAAUACGUUCCCGGGCCUU
Molecule: ribosomal RNA, 241 nt
Filed under: uncultured Cryptanaerobacter sp.
Lineage: Bacteria; Bacillati; Bacillota; Clostridia; Eubacteriales; Desulfotomaculaceae
Description: partial 16S ribosomal RNA
Rfam family: Bacterial small subunit ribosomal RNA
Source: RNAcentral